RNAcentral lists this transfer RNA (98 nucleotides) under Helianthus annuus (common sunflower). RNAcentral describes it as "tRNA-Leu". The stretch from base 8 to 87 matches the Rfam family "tRNA". From Rfam's summary of the family: Transfer RNA (tRNA) molecules are approximately 80 nucleotides in length. Lineage: Eukaryota; Viridiplantae; Streptophyta; Magnoliopsida; Asterales; Asteraceae. The record is from RNAcentral.
CGAGCAAGCCGCUAUGGUGAAAUCAGUAGACACGCUGCUCUUAGGAAGCAGUGCUAGAGCAUCUCGGUUCGAGUCCGAGUGGCGGCAUGCCAUCUUCU